GUAAGUCGAUUACAUUGUCGUUGGGACAAUACAUAUCACCUCAUUAAAACGAAAGCUAAGACUACAAAGUACAUGUACCUGCAUCACAAGUUUUCACAAGAUUACAAAGUACAUCAGUGAAAAGCAAAGCCAGCGAGGUUGAAUCAAAUUCAUAACAGCUCAAACGGCUAUAGAGUUAAAUAUCAUCACCAUCCAAGUCAUAGACUUGCAGCAUAAUCCAGGCUACAUCACCACCCAAGCCAUGACAUUCACCUGCAAUCAACUCACAAAACCAUGAGAACCGUGACUCGUAAUCACAUAGGAAGAAGGUGAGGCCUACGUAAGGGCCAAGACAUAACGAGUGUCGCAAGCUUCCGUAAUAAAGUUUAAGAUGAACAUACCAUGAUUUAGAAAACCUGGUCUAUAAACAAAGACCUGCCACAAGAUUGCAGCACAAGACCUGCAGCCUACACAUAGAAAUAUUGCUCAGGAUCCCACCUUUCACUCAUGACAUACCUGUUACAACAGAAAUGGAGAAAUCAACAUAACUUGAGCUGUUUAUUCCAAAAACACAAGACCAAACAUAAAAAAAAACAUGAAUAUGCAAGUUACCUUAAAUAAGUCCCAAAACCCCUGUUUAAGGUUGGAUCUAGAGUAAGCCUCAAGGACGAUUGUUGCAUGACAUUUGAUUACGGUGUGCUUAAGGUUGAAUCCAUGCGGAUAUUUCUCCAGGACCAUUCUCAUUCAUUCUAAACCCCACAAGUCACUUGCCAAUCCAAGGUUACAACUUAAGCGAUGACAUUUGAUUACGGUGUGCUUAAGGUUGAAUCCAUGCGGAUAUUUCUCCAGGACCAUUCUCAUUCAUUCUAAACCCCACAAGUCACUUGCCAAUCCAAGGUUACAACUUAAGCGCGCCAUACUCUAAGCAUACGAUUGAAAAAAACCUGCGAAAAAUUCAAGAAUUACAUGACAGUAAAAGCAAAGUUCUUACCGUGACAUGUAGAUCUUUCACGGCAGUGAAUAAGAAACUCAAAAUAAACAACGUGCUUGAGAGAUUUUGCUACAGACAAACCUUAAACCUUAAUACCUUCAUUUUGGGGACCACGUCAAAAGGGAGGACCACCAAAUCUGGACGAGAUUCUUUUGGCUAACGGAUUGAUUCAACAAACUUCUGCCAGCUCAUGAUUUGAAGACCUCAUUUC
This 1181-nucleotide long non-coding RNA is filed under the name Lathyrus oleraceus (garden pea). RNAcentral's name for it is "Pisum sativum (pea) long non-coding RNA (PSAT_LNC001882)". Lineage: Eukaryota; Viridiplantae; Streptophyta; Magnoliopsida; Fabales; Fabaceae. The record is from RNAcentral.